CGUUCAAUCAAUGACCCCUCCUAUCUUUGGAAUCAGUUAACCAUCUUUUUGUUCACUUCAAAACUGCUAAGCAAUUUUGGGCGCUCUUUCUGAAUCUUUGUGGUGUCACUAUAACUAUGUCUUCAUAUAUCAGGAACUUAAUGGAUAGCUGGCAGAAACAAACGAUGGCAACUUUCCAAAAGCAGCUUGGGAGGACCACCCCUUUGUGCAUCCGGAUCAUUUAGAGCGAAAGAAUUAGAGCUCAUUUUGAGAAUAAACGGUGUCACAUUUCUAGAACUAAGAACUUAUGACUGUGUGAUCUAUAUUUCUACUGUAAUACGUGUUUAUCAGAUAGUAAGGAUCAAUACUUAGAGUUAUUGAAUCUGCUACGAAAUACUUAAUAGGGGAUUGUUUAUAGGUGAUGUCUGGUCUGUUUGUACUCUUGUGUACCUUCUUGGUACAUUCUUGCUAAUAAUACAUUACCU
Molecule: long non-coding RNA, 464 nt
Filed under: Nicotiana benthamiana
Lineage: Eukaryota; Viridiplantae; Streptophyta; Magnoliopsida; Solanales; Solanaceae
Description: long non-coding RNA (NBEN_LNC021187)
Source: RNAcentral